Non-coding RNA from Aedes albopictus (Asian tiger mosquito), 118 nucleotides. The record is from Rfam. NCBI's taxonomy places the organism in Eukaryota, Metazoa, Arthropoda, Insecta, Diptera, Culicidae.
UGCCCAGCAACUCCUAUCCUCAACUCCUCGCGGUACCGGCCGGAAACUAUGACCAACCUUAGGGGAGAUCGGGUUACCAACACCGUUCGGAACUUUGGUCGUAGGCUAACAGGGAAGG